AUGAACGCUGGCGGCGUGCCUAAUACAUGCAAGUCGAGCGAACAGAUAAGGAGCUUGCUCCUUUGACGUUAGCGGCGGACGGGUGAGCAACACGUGGGUAACCUACCUAUAAGACUGGAAUAACUCCGGGAAACCGGGGCUAAUGCCGGAUAACAUGUUGAACCGCAUGGUUCUACAGUGAAAGGCGGCUUUGCUGUCACUUAUAGAUGGACCCGCGCCGUAUUAGCUAGUUGGUGAGGUAACGGCUCACCAAGGCAACGAUACGUAGCCGACCUGAGAGGGUGAUCGGCCACACUGGAACUGAGACACGGUCCAGACUCCUACGGGAGGCAGCAGUAGGGAAUCUUCCGCAAUGGGCGAAAGCUGACGGAGCAACGCCGCGUGAGUGAUGAAGGUCUUCGGAUCGUAAAACUCUGUUAUUAGGGAAGAACAAGUGCGUAAGUAACUGUGCGCGUCUUGACGGUACCUAAUCAGAAAGCCACGGCUAACUACGUGCCAGCAGCCGCGGUAAUACGUAGGUGGCAAGCGUUAUCCGGAAUUAUUGGGCGUAAAGCGCGCGUAGGCGGUUUUUUAAGUCUGAUGUGAAAGCCCACGGCUCAACCGUGGAGGGUCAUUGGAAACUGAAAAACUUGAGUGCAGAAGAGGAAAGUGGAAUUCCAUGUGUAGCGGUGAAAUGCGCAGAGAUAUGGAGGAACACCAGUGGCGAAGGCGACUUUCUGGUCUGUAACUGACGCUGAUGUGCGAAAGCGUGGGGAUCAAACAGGAUUGGAUACCCUGGUAGU
Molecule: ribosomal RNA, 782 nt
Filed under: uncultured Staphylococcus sp.
Lineage: Bacteria; Bacillati; Bacillota; Bacilli; Caryophanales; Staphylococcaceae
Description: bacterial SSU rRNA
Rfam family: Bacterial small subunit ribosomal RNA
Source: RNAcentral